UACGUAGGGGGCAAGCGUUGUCCGGAAUUAUUGGGCGUAAAGCGCGCGCAGGCGGCCUCAUAAGUCUGAUGUGAAAGCCCACGGCUCAACCGUGGAGGGUCAUUGGAAACUGUGGAGCUUGAGUACAGGAGAGGAGAGUGGAAUUCCACGUGUAGCGGUGAAAUGCGUAGAGAUGUGGAGGAACACCAGUGGCGAAGGCGGCUCUCUGGCCUGUAACUGACGCUGAGGCGCGAAAGCGUGGGUAGCGAACAGG
Molecule: unclassified non-coding RNA, 253 nt
Filed under: uncultured Caryophanales bacterium
Lineage: Bacteria; Bacillati; Bacillota; Bacilli; Caryophanales
Description: uncultured Bacillales bacterium contains 16S-23S intergenic spacer region
Rfam family: Bacterial small subunit ribosomal RNA
Source: RNAcentral